CGCCCCCAGUCCCCCUAUCUCGGAGCCACCCUCCUGGGCCUACAGGCGCCGCGGGGCCAGGGACUGGGCGCGGAUCGAGGCGGGGAGGGACCUGGAAAAACCACCCAGAUUGCAUUGCAGUGGGUGAGGCAGCCCGGAGAGCCGGUUCUCCUGAGCCACCUCCCUGCGGGGCUUUUUCGGUGCGCUGUUCCCAGGUGCUCUAUCCUACCUGGGCCAGGGAGUGCCGCCUCGCAGGGACGCGGGACCCGCUGCGUGGCCCCGAGGAGCGGCCCCGAGCGCGCGCGGCGGCUGCCCGGAGGCCCAAGGCCCGGCGUGCGACUGUUGCUGCGAAUGGUUAGAACAGCUCAGGAAGUCGCGCCCCGCCGUCCUUUUUGGCGCCUGGUGUUCGGAUUAAUCAUUUGUAUAGCGCGUUUGGAUAAACUGAGAACUUUAUGAGCGCGUUUGCCAGGGAUUCUGCAGCGUCAUCCGUGUUAGAAUCGAAUCUCAGAGCUCCCCCUUUUCACAGAGGCUUGCCUUUUCUUUUUUAAGGAAGUCGGAUCCCUGGUGUCUGAUUUUUUUAAAUUUAAAGUUUAAUCUGCCUAACUAGGUUACACGGACAGGAUUUUUUUGUUUUAUUUUGUUUUCUAAUGUAUUCCCAGGGCUUGGAACAGAGCCAGAAAUAUACUAGGCAUUCAACAAAUAUUUGUUGAAUGAUUUUAGUGAGUAACACCCAACCAUUUUUGUAGUUCUUUGUCUCCUGAGCUGGGCAGAGUUCAUCACCGCAAAGUUCAGUCAAAAGCUACCAGGGAAGUUGCUCCAAUUGGAACAAAACAGGAGGAAAGUGGUUUCAUCUUUGGCUACCACAACCAGCUCUGCCCAGUCUGGAAAUCCUGCUUUAAAAGCCUAACGUGUGGGGCCAGCCUGGUGGCGCAGUGGUUACAACUAAGUGGACAUUCAUUAACCAAUAGAGGAUUCCCUACCCAGCACAACAGGAUGCCUAAAAGAUCUGUGCAGCCAUACAGCUGAAGGAUCCAAUCUGGAAUAUCACAUUGCAUGUAAAACAAGUAUUUUUUUGGCCAAGAUAUUCUAGAGGAUGCAAAAAUAACCCCCCGGUACAUAGUUGUGUAUUCUUCGCUGUGGGUUCCUCCAGUUGUGGCAUGUGGGACGCUGCCUCAGCGUGGUCUGACGAGCAGUGCCAUGUCCGCGCCCAGGAUUCGAACCGACGAAACACUGGGCCGCCUGCAGCGGAGCGCGAGAACCCAACCACUCGGCCACGGGGCCAGCCCCUCUUCUUUCUUCUUAUAAGGCCAAUCCUGUUGAAUUACGACUCUACCCUAUGACCUCAUUUAACCUUAAUUAUCUCCUAAAAGCCUGUCUCCUAAUACAAUAACAUUGGAGGUUAGGCCUUCAACAUAUGAAUUCUGGGAGUACACAAAUCCACUCACAGCAGUGGAGCGUGAGCUGGAUGGGUGUGCACUACGCACUUUAGAGAUUUUGUAGACCACAGAGUCCAGCUGUAUGUACUCUCUACUGUAUGUCUCAAUUGUUGUAUUAAAUCUUUGGUAAAAACUUUGUGGUAAAUUGCAAACUUAACUGUACAAGAGAGCAAACAAGUUGAAAUUUUAUUAUUUUUGCAAUAAUGGAGUGUACUGUCUGUAUUUCUAAACCCAAAAUAAAAUUGACUAAACGUGGUCUGAUUUUCAUUAUCACUAUGUGCCAGUAAUUCUAAACAAUGUAAGCAACAAACUACCACUCUAAAAAAUCUCGUAAGUUCUAAAGACUUGCUACAGUUACUGUUGAGAGAUUUAACAGCUUCA
RNAcentral lists this long non-coding RNA (1796 nucleotides) under Equus caballus (horse). RNAcentral's name for it is "lncRNA (ENSECAG00000054843.1)". Lineage: Eukaryota; Metazoa; Chordata; Mammalia; Perissodactyla; Equidae. The record is from RNAcentral.